ACGGAAGGCAGCAGUGGGGAAUAUUGCACAAUGGGGGAAACCCUGAUGCAGCGACGCCGCGUGAGCGAAGAAGUAUCUCGGUAUGUAAAGCUCUAUCAGCAGGGAAGAGAAUGACGGUACCUGAGUAAGAAGCCCCGGCUAACUGCGUGCCAGCAGCCGCGGUAAUACGUAGGGGGCAAGCGUUAUCCGGAUUUACUGGGUGUAAGGGAGCGUAGACGGCAAAGCAAGUCUGAAGUGAAAGCCCGGGGCUCAACCCCGGGACUGCUUUGGAAACUGUUCUGCUAGAGUGCUGGAGAGGUAAGCGGAAUUCCUAGUGUAGCGGUGAAAUGCGUAGAUAUUAGGAGGAACACCAGUGGUGAAGGCGGCUUACUGGACAGUAACUGACGUUGAGGCUCGAAAGCGUGGGGAGCAAACAGGAUUAGAUACCCUGGUA
Molecule: ribosomal RNA, 433 nt
Filed under: uncultured bacterium
Lineage: Bacteria
Description: bacterial SSU rRNA
Rfam family: Bacterial small subunit ribosomal RNA
Source: RNAcentral